This is a long non-coding RNA of Meleagris gallopavo (turkey), 939 nucleotides long. RefSeq lists it as uncharacterized. NCBI's taxonomy places the organism in Eukaryota, Metazoa, Chordata, Aves, Galliformes, Phasianidae. The record is from RefSeq and is a predicted model, not a curated record.
GGAGCGUUGCCAGGGCAAUGGAUCUGCGUCCACCCCCUGGCCUAGAAAAAGCCUCGGGGAGGGCAGCGAGGCGUCGCUUCCCAACGGAGAGGGAGAGGAGUCGGGGUGUGAGAAUCACCUGGGCUGCUUUAACGAGGAGAAACUGUAAGCCACCCAUACACGGGACUCCCCAGCAAGGACGGUUGUUAUCACUGUCAACAUGCUGGCUUUUCUAAGGACCAGGACCAUUGAGUCAGAGCACUCAUGGUCUUGCUGUAAGCUAUCCACUACUCCACACAGACAGAGUUGAAGACAAAUUCCUGCCAUAAAGCCCACUGGCAUGCAGCUCUCUGUUCAUGUGGGCUCACAAAAGCAGCAGAGGCAGUCUGCACAAACCUGAAAACCUUGAUUUGCUAUCUGGUUGCUGUGUCACAAGAAUGAAGGCCGGAGAGCACCAGCUUGUCAAAACCCGAGUCUUUUAAAACCACAUAUAUACCUUACAACUGGAGAUUCAAAUAUCCUUGAACUACUCGAUGACAUACUAUAAGAGACAAAUAAUCAUCUGGGAGUACAUUCAAUACUUUGUGCUUUUACUGUUCCUAUAAAACACGUAAAACUUCAGUUCUGAUUCCAUGCAGCCUUUCCCCAUAUGAAACAAAAAGUGUUCUCUGCCUGUAAGAGUGUAUGAUCUCAACAUGAGAUUACAGAGGUAGAAGGCAGUGCAAAAAUUAUGCCAGACAGAACAAUGGACAGAAAAAAUAUUCAUACUAAAAAUAUACAUCCACUCAAAAGUGCAAUAGACAAAGCCCCCAAAAUUUCCUCUUCUCUCUAGAGAUUAUAAAAGGGAUAUGGAGAUUUCUGAUUGAGACAUCCACUUUACAUGCAUCUAAAAUUAGAGAAAAUGAAUCUCAAAGAAUCAGAAUAGCAAAUUACUGUCAGUUCUCUCUGGGAAUAACAAAC